UACGUAGGGUGCGAGCGUUGCCCGGAUUUAUUGGGCGUAAAGGGCGCGUAGGCGGUCACGCACGUCCGUUGUGAAAUCGCUCGGCUCAACUGGGCGGGGUCAGCGGAUACGGCGUGGCUGGAGCAAGCUAGGGGGCAAUGGAAUUCCCGGUGUAGUGGUGGAAUGCGUAGAGCUCGGGAAGAACAUCGGUGGCGAAAGCGCUCUGCUGGACUGCAACUGACACUCAGGGACGAAAGCUAGGGGAGCGAACGGG
RNAcentral lists this ribosomal RNA (253 nucleotides) under uncultured bacterium. Its description in RNAcentral is "partial 16S ribosomal RNA". It matches the Rfam family "Bacterial small subunit ribosomal RNA", at positions 524 to 776 of the family's 1533-position model. The record is from RNAcentral.